This 2931-nucleotide ribosomal RNA is filed under the name Escherichia coli. RNAcentral describes it as "23S ribosomal RNA". It matches the Rfam family "Bacterial large subunit ribosomal RNA". Lineage: Bacteria; Pseudomonadati; Pseudomonadota; Gammaproteobacteria; Enterobacterales; Enterobacteriaceae. The record is from RNAcentral.
GGGUUGUGAGGUUAAGCGACUAAGCGUACACGGUGGAUGCCCUGGCAGUCAGAGGCGAUGAAGGACGUGCUAAUCUGCGAUAAGCGUCGGUAAGGUGAUAUGAACCGUUAUAACCGGCGAUUUCCGAAUGGGGAAACCCAGUGUGUUUCGACACACUAUCAUUAACUGAAUCCAUAGGUUAAUGAGGCGAACCGGGGGAACUGAAACAUCUAAGUACCCCGAGGAAAAGAAAUCAACCGAGAUUCCCCCAGUAGCGGCGAGCGAACGGGGAGCAGCCCAGAGCCUGAAUCAGUGUGUGUGUUAGUGGAAGCGUCUGGAAAGGCGCGCGAUACAGGGUGACAGCCCCGUACACAAAAAUGCACAUGCUGUGAGCUCGAUGAGUAGGGCGGGACACGUGGUAUCCUGUCUGAAUAUGGGGGGACCAUCCUCCAAGGCUAAAUACUCCUGACUGACCGAUAGUGAACCAGUACCGUGAGGGAAAGGCGAAAAGAACCCCGGCGAGGGGAGUGAAAAAGAACCUGAAACCGUGUACGUACAAGCAGUGGGAGCCUCUUUAUGGGGUGACUGCGUACCUUUUGUAUAAUGGGUCAGCGACUUAUAUUCUGUAGCAAGGUUAACCGAAUAGGGGAGCCGAAGGGAAACCGAGUCUUAACUGGGCGUUAAGUUGCAGGGUAUAGACCCGAAACCCGGUGAUCUAGCCAUGGGCAGGUUGAAGGUUGGGUAACACUAACUGGAGGACCGAACCGACUAAUGUUGAAAAAUUAGCGGAUGACUUGUGGCUGGGGGUGAAAGGCCAAUCAAACCGGGAGAUAGCUGGUUCUCCCCGAAAGCUAUUUAGGUAGCGCCUCGUGAAUUCAUCUCCGGGGGUAGAGCACUGUUUCGGCAAGGGGGUCAUCCCGACUUACCAACCCGAUGCAAACUGCGAAUACCGGAGAAUGUUAUCACGGGAGACACACGGCGGGUGCUAACGUCCGUCGUGAAGAGGGAAACAACCCAGACCGCCAGCUAAGGUCCCAAAGUCAUGGUUAAGUGGGAAACGAUGUGGGAAGGCCCAGACAGCCAGGAUGUUGGCUUAGAAGCAGCCAUCAUUUAAAGAAAGCGUAAUAGCUCACUGGUCGAGUCGGCCUGCGCGGAAGAUGUAACGGGGCUAAACCAUGCACCGAAGCUGCGGCAGCGACGCUGAUGCGUUGUUGGGUAGGGGAGCGUUCUGUAAGCCUGCGAAGGUGUGCUGUGAGGCAUGCUGGAGGUAUCAGAAGUGCGAAUGCUGACAUAAGUAACGAUAAAGCGGGUGAAAAGCCCGCUCGCCGGAAGACCAAGGGUUCCUGUCCAACGUUAAUCGGGGCAGGGUGAGUCGACCCCUAAGGCGAGGCCGAAAGGCGUAGUCGAUGGGAAACAGGUUAAUAUUCCUGUACUUGGUGUUACUGCGAAGGGGGGACGGAGAAGGCUAUGUUGGCCGGGCGACGGUUGUCCCGGUUUAAGCGUGUAGGCUGGUUUUCCAGGCAAAUCCGGAAAAUCAAGGCUGAGGCGUGAUGACGAGGCACUACGGUGCUGAAGCAACAAAUGCCCUGCUUCCAGGAAAAGCCUCUAAGCAUCAGGUAACAUCAAAUCGUACCCCAAACCGACACAGGUGGUCAGGUAGAGAAUACCAAGGCGCUUGAGAGAACUCGGGUGAAGGAACUAGGCAAAAUGGUGCCGUAACUUCGGGAGAAGGCACGCUGAUAUGUAGGUGAAGCGACUUGCUCGUGGAGCUGAAAUCAGUCGAAGAUACCAGCUGGCUGCAACUGUUUAUUAAAAACACAGCACUGUGCAAACACGAAAGUGGACGUAUACGGUGUGACGCCUGCCCGGUGCCGGAAGGUUAAUUGAUGGGGUUAGCGGUAACGCGAAGCUCUUGAUCGAAGCCCCGGUAAACGGCGGCCGUAACUAUAACGGUCCUAAGGUAGCGAAAUUCCUUGUCGGGUAAGUUCCGACCUGCACGAAUGGCGUAAUGAUGGCCAGGCUGUCUCCACCCGAGACUCAGUGAAAUUGAACUCGCUGUGAAGAUGCAGUGUACCCGCGGCAAGACGGAAAGACCCCGUGAACCUUUACUAUAGCUUGACACUGAACAUUGAGCCUUGAUGUGUAGGAUAGGUGGGAGGCUUUGAAGUGUGGACGCCAGUCUGCAUGGAGCCGACCUUGAAAUACCACCCUUUAAUGUUUGAUGUUCUAACGUUGACCCGUAAUCCGGGUUGCGGACAGUGUCUGGUGGGUAGUUUGACUGGGGCGGUCUCCUCCUAAAGAGUAACGGAGGAGCACGAAGGUUGGCUAAUCCUGGUCGGACAUCAGGAGGUUAGUGCAAUGGCAUAAGCCAGCUUGACUGCGAGCGUGACGGCGCGAGCAGGUGCGAAAGCAGGUCAUAGUGAUCCGGUGGUUCUGAAUGGAAGGGCCAUCGCUCAACGGAUAAAAGGUACUCCGGGGAUAACAGGCUGAUACCGCCCAAGAGUUCAUAUCGACGGCGGUGUUUGGCACCUCGAUGUCGGCUCAUCACAUCCUGGGGCUGAAGUAGGUCCCAAGGGUAUGGCUGUUCGCCAUUUAAAGUGGUACGCGAGCUGGGUUUAGAACGUCGUGAGACAGUUCGGUCCCUAUCUGCCGUGGGCGCUGGAGAACUGAGGGGGGCUGCUCCUAGUACGAGAGGACCGGAGUGGACGCAUCACUGGUGUUCGGGUUGUCAUGCCAAUGGCACUGCCCGGUAGCUAAAUGCGGAAGAGAUAAGUGCUGAAAGCAUCUAAGCACGAAACUUGCCCCGAGAUGAGUUCUCCCUGACCCUUUAAGGGUCCUGAAGGAACGUUGAAGACGACGACGUUGAUAGGCCGGGUGUGUAAGCGCAGCGAUGCGUUGAGCUAACCGGUACUAAUGAACCGUGAGGCUUAACCUUACAACGCCGAAGCUGUU